This is a small nuclear RNA of Fukomys damarensis (Damara mole-rat), 107 nucleotides long. The record is from Ensembl. NCBI's taxonomy places the organism in Eukaryota, Metazoa, Chordata, Mammalia, Rodentia, Bathyergidae.
GUGCUCGCUUCAGCAACACAUAUAAUAAAAUUGGAACAGGACAGAGAAGAUCAGCAUGGCCCCUGCGUAAGGAUGACUGGCAAAUUCACGAAGCGUUCCAUAUUAGA